This 254-nucleotide ribosomal RNA is filed under the name uncultured bacterium. RNAcentral's name for it is "partial 16S ribosomal RNA". It matches the Rfam family "Bacterial small subunit ribosomal RNA", at positions 524 to 776 of the family's 1533-position model. The record is from RNAcentral.
GACAGAGGUGCCGAGCGUUAGGCGGAAUCACUGGGCUUAAAGCGCGUGUAGGCGGCCCGGCACGUCCGUCGCUGAAAUCCCCCGGCUCAACCGGGGAAGUGGCGUGGAUACGACCGGGCUGGAGGGGGGUAGGGGGAGCCGGAACUUCCGGUGGAGCGGUGAAAUGCGUUGAGAUCGGAAGGAACGCCCGUGGCGAAAGCGGGCUCCUGGACCCCACCUGACGCUGAGACGCGAAAGCCAGGGGAGCGAACGGG